GCCCAUGAUAAUACCAGUGACAAAGGCAAUGAGAUGAUUAAUGGUAAUGGUGCUGGUGCUUUAUUCUCAUCGUCAAAGGAAAACUGCUUGUUUGCACAUGUGGUUAACCCUGUUUCUGAGAAGCAUGUUCUUGAGUCCCAAAAUGCUAUGGAUUCAGAUGCUACUACUCGCUCAACCAAUGAUAUGAAGGACACAGGUUUAUUGGGUUCUAGCAUGAUACAAGGCAACAAGGGUACCAAAG
This 241-nucleotide unclassified non-coding RNA is filed under the name Hevea brasiliensis (rubber tree). The record is from RNAcentral. Lineage: Eukaryota; Viridiplantae; Streptophyta; Magnoliopsida; Malpighiales; Euphorbiaceae.